This 1972-nucleotide long non-coding RNA is filed under the name Prunus persica (peach). Its description in RNAcentral is "long non-coding RNA (PPER_LNC002131)". Lineage: Eukaryota; Viridiplantae; Streptophyta; Magnoliopsida; Rosales; Rosaceae. The record is from RNAcentral.
GGGAAGAAACCCAACUUGGGUACACGAGAGUUCGUCAUAUGCACUUGCAUACGUGCCACGCCAAGUAAAUAAGCAACACGCCACGCUACAAGCUUAAGUGGGCCUAAGCCAUGCAAAUGCCUGGGGCUUGCUGAGCUGGUUGUGGUAUGGAUGGUUAUGAGUAUUCACGAGGCCCAUUGAUGGUCCAAGGAGUGGAAGUUUUGGGCUACUUGGGAGCACCAAAACUCAAGCCCAUUCCUUGAGCCCAAACAUAUGGGUAAGCAUGAGAGAGAACCCAGUAGUCCAUCACUUUAGGAAGCCAGCCCAUUCCCUUAGUAAACUAACCCAUCACCCUAGGCUGCCCCAAAUGACCAAGAAAAUAUCUGAAAAUCUCCAGCACAUGGCUGGAGACAAAACAAUAACAAAAUGGCUGGAGACAAAACAAUAACAAAAGCCAAAAGCCACUAACGUCUGCAAGCUGCUGGGAAUCUCUAGCACAUGGCCAAAGAUAAAUCUCAAUACAAGCCAUCAAAAAACCAAAGGAUACUUGAGCAAAACACCCUUCAAACUAGCGGCCUUACCCAUUUCUUUCUCCCACCAGCUCUUGCCAUGGAAGAGGGAAGGAAAGAAGGUGAGGAGGUAGCCAAAAAUGGGAGUUCAUUACUGAAGCAGUUAUGGGAAAGCCUUAGAGCUCCCAAAAAUCUUGUCUUUGUGUGUUUGGACAGAGGAAGAUUUCACAAAAUGGGAUGAGUCAAAGGAAGAGAAGAGAAAUGAAAGGGGAGACUUGGCAAAAUUAGAGAGAACCAACUAAGGUUUUCUUGGUAAGAAGGAGUUCCUGCGCCUAUAAAAGGGAGGCACCUUCUACCCACCAAAACAACUCAAGAAAAGGCAAGCAACACACAUCCAAAAAGCAAGCUUCAUCUCUCAUCCCUUAAACCUCUGCAAUUUCGAGCCCCAUUCCUCUAUCUUCUCCCAUUUUCUCCUUUGGUAAAUUGUUCCAGAGCUUUCGUCAAGCUGUUGGAAACUACUCAACACACCCGUUGUUAUUCCCUCAUCUCUCUCUCUCUCUCUCUUCAACAAAUCCUUUUAGAAUCUUGCCUUAAAACCUCUAUUUCUCAUAGGAAAUCGUAGCUCUUUCUCUCUCUCAUGCUAAACUCAUGAAUGCUCAACUCCCAUGCCACAAACUUCUCAUGCCAAGCCAAGAAUUUAUCUGUAAGCGACUCUUCAUUGGUAAAGAAGACCAAGGUGUUUCCUAAGGCUCAACUACCCUUUCGAAACACUCUUGGGGUCUGAUCCUUGAACUCAAACUUAAGGGGCAAUUUCAUACAUUUGGCUCUUUACAGCAGCCCAAGCCUAUAAGUAGCUGCCAGAACGAAAAAGCCCCUACAUAAAUUGGCGACUCUGCUGGGGAUUAGGCCGCUAUCUUCACCAAUACUUCCAACAAAGAAGACCAGAAGCAAUAAACCAAAGAAAAUAAAGAGAUAAGAACAUUUCCUCUUUCUUGUUUUUUUCUUUUGUUGGCUAUCUACUUUGCAUAACAAGCAUAAUAAGGGUUGCUGACAUGUGCCUUUUGCUUGUGUCUUAGAUCUCCAUUCUCAAGCAAAACCAAAUCUUGUACGAGGGCUGGGGCUUUAGGCAAAUCCAUCAUUCAGGCCAUUGAGCAAACUACACAUGCAAACUCCAAAAUACUUGGGGGCUUCGGGCCAAGAAAAUCUAUAAAAAUAAAAUAAAAUAAAAAUAAAAAAAGGGAGUCAAGCAUAGGAACUUCAAAGUUUCUCAUGCUAAACCAAGCUAUACCUCGGUUCCAAGAGCUGUGCACUUGCCUUAUUUCAAACCUUCUUAGCCCAUAUCCUAUUUCAAACAUCAUGCCAGAGUAUAUGCUCCCUAACCCCCAAAAGCUCAAUUUAUCCUUGCAAUAAUUCAACAAGCUCAUUACAUCUCUGAAAGAAAACUCAAAGCAGCCUCAACAACUAGCUUGUUCUCUGUCUCAUCC